Molecule: ribosomal RNA, 464 nt
Filed under: uncultured bacterium
Lineage: Bacteria
Description: partial 16S ribosomal RNA
Rfam family: Bacterial small subunit ribosomal RNA
Source: RNAcentral
ACGAACGCUGGCGGCGUGCUUAACACAUGCAAGUCGAACGGAAAGGCCCCUUUGGGGGUACUCGAGUGGCGAACGGGUGAGUAACACGUGAGUAACCUGCCCUUGACUUCGGGAUAACUUCAGGAAACUGGGGCUAAUACCGGAUAGGAAUCCUUGCUGCAUGGUGGGGGUUGGAGAGCUUCGGCGGUUUUGGAUGGACUCGCGGCUUAUCAGCUUGUUGGUGGGGUAGUGGCUUACCAAGGCUUUGACGGGUAGCCGGCCUGAGAGGGCGACCGGCCACAUUGGGACUGAGAUACGGCCCAGACUCCUACGGGAGGCAGCAGUGGGGAAUAUUGCACAAUGGGCGGAAGCCUGAUGCAGCAACGCCGCGUGCGGGAUGACGGCCUUCGGGUUGUAAACCGCUUUCAGCAGGGGCGAAGCUUGUGGUGACGGUACCUGCAGAAGAAGCACCGGCUAACUACGUG